Molecule: ribosomal RNA, 479 nt
Filed under: uncultured organism
Description: partial 16S ribosomal RNA
Rfam family: Bacterial small subunit ribosomal RNA
Source: RNAcentral
ACGUACACUCCUGCGGGAGGCAGCAGUGGGGAAUAUUGCACAAUGGGCGCAAGCCUGAUGCAGCCAUGCCGCGUGUAUGAAGAAGGCCUUCGGGUUGUAAAGUACUUUCAGCGGGGAGGAAGGCGAUAAGGUUAAUAACCUUGUUGAUUGACGUUACCCGCAGAAGAAGCACCGGCUAACUCCGUGCCAGCAGCCGCGGUAAUACGGAGGGUGCAAGCGUUAAUCGGAAUUACUGGGCGUAAAGCGCACGCAGGCGGUCUGUCAAGUCGGAUGUGAAAUCCCCGGGCUCAACCUGGGAACUGCAUUCGAAACUGGCAGGCUAGAGUCUUGUAGAGUGGGGUAGAAUUCCAGGUGUAGCGGUGAAAUGCGUAGAGAUCUGGAGGAAUACCGGUGGCGAAGGCGGCCCCCUGGACAAAGACUGACGCUCAGGUGCGAAAGCGUGGGGAGCAAACAGGAUUAGAAACCCGAGUAGUCCCAUG